GCUUCAGAGGUCACAUCUACUGUGCGCUGUAACAUAUAUUUUCGCAAAAAUCUCGUCCUGUGUUGCCAUCAUCAGGGUGCGAUGGAUUACGAUCUUCAAAAUCUGUCAAAGACUCGCUUUCCGAAAUUUUCGGAAAUUCGUUACGUUUAUAGUAAAGAAUCGUCUGCUCUUAAGUUCUUUUACACAAGCAGUUGUUUUGUUUGGGGUGUUUUUUUUUUCUUUUUCUUUCUCACUUUCACACCUCUUGGUGUGAUUCAUGCAAUUAGUUACAUAGUUGGAACAAAUGCAAGCACAUUAUCAUAAAUAACUAACGAUGCUUUGCGUUUUUAUUAUUUUGUUCUUUCGCAGGUGGGGCGAGAAUUCCGUUGUCCGAAUCUUACCGCCCAACGCCCACGCUGAAUUCCUGACCCAUACGUGUUGGGUGUGGAUACUGUGGUCAGCAUCCUUGGAUUUUACUAGAGUGAUAGAAAUACGGCUUGAUCACACGAUCACAGUCUUCGUGAUGUCAAACUCGAGUCUAUAAAACCACUGGCGAUAGUAUAUCGUCACUCGAUCCUGCCUGAAUAUUUGAAGGCAGCCAUGAUCUCCGGUUCAUGACCUACAUGACCUGCGGCACCUGGUGUGUAGAAUGCGGCGAGGAAAACAAGUAAAAAGGACUGAGGAGAUAUCAAACAUCCUCGAAACACUGAAUGGGAAAAUUAGACAGGACCGGGUACCAAAGAUCAGGAGACUUUACAAACCGACAAAUGCAAAAAUCUUGUCAGCCAUGAACACUUGACGAGCAUCGUACGUGUGCAAAAAUAGCAUUUUAGUGUCCGUGUUCUGAAAACACACACACACGCGCGCGCGCGCAGAAAUUAAUUUGUAGGGAAGAAGACACAGGAGGCUGGUUUGGAGGUGGACCAGGACGGAUCGAGUGAGUGUUGGAAACAGAGGGAUGCAGUGCACACCUUUUAAAAGCCUGCUGGUCAGUCUUAAACGCAGGUGCUCUACUCGCGAGGCUGCAUUAACCUUUCAGGAGGAGCAGGUGAAAAAACGUUGGUGGGGGCAGCAGCGGGAGGGGUUUAAAUUUGUUGCGACGUUGUACAACUACUACUGCCAUCAGUUUGUGCUGUCGCGACCAGAUUCGAUCUCCCACACAACCCACAUUAAAGAAGAUGUAUCAACGAAAUUGCUAAAGUUCGUUUCCUAACCGGGCCAAAUGCCAAAGUGACAAACCUUCGAUGUCUUUCAAAGUCCUAUAUUGCAUUGGCAAAUGUAUUGACAACAAUCUUGGGCUUGCUGAUCGGAGUUCCCAUUUCCCGAGCGUUCGUUGGAAACCCAACUGUUUUGCUGUGACCUUCACACACAACUUUGAUAAACUUGAUCAAAUGUUCGAGAUAUUUGUUCUGUUUCUCCGAGUCAGCACUAACUUCAGCCAUGUGGCGGUCGUUUUGUCAAUGUGUCACUUACCCUUGUAUAUAAACCUGAAUACCUCUGUAUGUCUGAAGUUUUUUGUUUUUUUUAAAAAGUAGAAUGUGCACGCAGUAAAAUGAAUGUCGUGUUCGACCCAGGUAAAAAAGUAGAAAAAUUACGGUGCUUGUUCGUGGAAGAAUGGAGGAAAGAGUUCCGUGUAUGCCCGUGGUGAAAAAGUUUAAGGUGUUUGGUGGCUGCGCUGUUUGUUGUUACACACUAAACACUCAAAGCUGAUUUAAACAGGAAUUGUAAGCCUUUGUCCCCUGGCCCCAUCUGUCCUCCUCGAGUUGCGUAUCAUCAUUGUUUUUGUACACAUUCUCCAUCCAACCCCCCGUGGGAGAGUUUCCAGAACAAUAGCUAGGAGUGGUGUGGCAUGACAUUGAUAUGAAUAAACCCAGUGGAUGUUUUAUGCGUCACUGUCCUAAUGAAGUCUCGAGUUCC
Molecule: long non-coding RNA, 1896 nt
Organism: Pomacea canaliculata
Lineage: Eukaryota; Metazoa; Mollusca; Gastropoda; Architaenioglossa; Ampullariidae
Exons: 3
Source: RefSeq, a predicted model, not a curated record